Molecule: unclassified non-coding RNA, 313 nt
Filed under: uncultured Tomentella
Lineage: Eukaryota; Fungi; Basidiomycota; Agaricomycetes; Thelephorales; Thelephoraceae
Description: sequence contains 5.8S rRNA gene
Source: RNAcentral
GAACGCACCUUGCGCCCUUUGGCUAUUCUGAAGGGCAUGCCUGUUUGAGUAUCAUGAACACCUCAACUCUCAUGGCCUGCCAUGAUGAGCUUGGACUUUGGGGGUCUUGCCGGCGUACCGUCGGCUCCUCUCAAAUGAAUCAGCUUGCCAGUGUUUGGUGGCAUCACAGGUGUGAUAACUAUCUACGCUUGUGGUUUUCCACCAGGUAACCUUCAGUGAUGGAGGUUCGCUGGGGCUCACAAAUGUCUCUCCUCAGUGAGGACAGCUUUUUAAUGUUUGAUCUCAAAGCAGGUAGGACUACCCGCGGAACUUA